CGGGACUACAAUGCAAAUUGGAUGUCAGCAGUUGAGAUUCUCGACGACGACAUUUAUCUUGGUGCUGAAAAUUACUUCAACCUCUUCACUGUUCGAAAGAACAGCGAAGGAGCAACUGAUGAGGAGCGCAGCCGCCUAGAGGUGGUUGGUGAAUACCACCUUGGUGAAUUUGUUAACCGGUUCCAACAUGGCUCCCUCGUAAUGCGUUUACCAGAUUCUGACGUUGGUCAAAUUCCAACAGUCAUUUUUGGCUCUGUCAAUGGCG
Molecule: long non-coding RNA, 265 nt
Filed under: Cucumis sativus (cucumber)
Lineage: Eukaryota; Viridiplantae; Streptophyta; Magnoliopsida; Cucurbitales; Cucurbitaceae
Description: long non-coding RNA (CSAT_LNC000376)
Source: RNAcentral